This 486-nucleotide ribosomal RNA is filed under the name uncultured bacterium. RNAcentral's name for it is "partial 16S ribosomal RNA". It matches the Rfam family "Bacterial small subunit ribosomal RNA", at positions 30 to 507 of the family's 1533-position model. The record is from RNAcentral.
AUUGAACGCUGGCGGCAUGCCUUACACAUGCAAGUCGAACGGCAGCACGGGUGCUUGCACCUGGUGGCGAGUGGCGAACGGGUGAGUAAUACAUCGGAACAUGUCCUGUAGUGGGGGAUAGCCCGGCGAAAGCCGGAUUAAUACCGCAUACGAUCUACGGAUGAAAGCGGGGGACCUUCGGGCCUCGCGCUAUCGGGUUGGCCGAUGGCUGAUUAGCUAGUUGGUGGGGUAAAGACCUACCAAGGCGACGAUCAGUAGCUGGUCUGAGAGGACGACCAGCCACACUGGGACUGAGAAACGGCCCAGACUCCUACGGGAGGCAGCAGUGGGGAAUUUUGGACAAUGGGCGAAAGCCUGAUCCAGCAAUGCCGCGUGUGUGAAGAAGGCCUUCGGGUUGUAAAGCACUUUUGUCCGGAAAGAAAUCCUUGGCCCUAAUACGGUCGGGGGAUGACGGUACCGGAAGAAUAAGCACCGGCUAACUACGUG